This 219-nucleotide ribosomal RNA is filed under the name uncultured fungus. RNAcentral describes it as "partial 18S ribosomal RNA". It matches the Rfam family "Eukaryotic small subunit ribosomal RNA", at positions 40 to 274 of the family's 1831-position model. The record is from RNAcentral. Lineage: Eukaryota; Fungi.
AAGAUUAAGCCAUGCAUGUCUAAGUAUAAGCGAAUAUACAGUGAAACUGCGAAUGGCUCAUUAAAUCAGUUAUCGUUUAUUUGAUAGUACCUUGCUAAUUGGCAUACGCCUGGCAAUUCUAGAGCUAAUACAUGCGCACAAGCCCAACUCACGGAGGGCUGUAUUUAUUAGAUAAAAAUCAACAUCCAAGAUGAUUCAUAAUAACUUUUCGAAUCGCAU